UACGAAGGGGGCUAGCGUUGCUCGGAAUCACUGGGCGUAAAGGGUGCGUAGGCGGGUCUUUAAGUCAGGGGGGAAAUCCUGGAGCUCAACUCCAGAACUGCCUUUGAUACUGAGGAUCUUGAGUUCGGGAGAGGUGAGUGGAACUGCGAGUGUAGAGGUGAAAUUCGUAGAUAUUCGCAAGAACACCAGUGGCGAAGGCGGCUCACUGGCCCGAUACUGACGCUGAGGCACGAAAGCGUGGGGAUCAAACAGG
This 253-nucleotide ribosomal RNA is filed under the name uncultured bacterium. Its description in RNAcentral is "partial 16S ribosomal RNA". It matches the Rfam family "Bacterial small subunit ribosomal RNA", at positions 524 to 776 of the family's 1533-position model. The record is from RNAcentral.